UACGUAGGGGGCAAGCGUUGUCCGGAUUUAUUGGGCGUAAAGAGCGUGUAGGCGGCCAGGUAGGUCCGCUGUGAAAACUCGAGGCUCAACCUCGAGAUGUCGGCGGAAACCAUCUGGCUAGAGUCCGGAAGAGGAGAGUGGAAUUCCUGGUGUAGCGGUGAAAUGCGCAGAUAUCAGGAAGAACACCCGUGGCGAAGGCGGCUCUCUGGGACGGUACUGACGCUAAGGCGCGAAAGCGUGGGGAGCGAACAGG
RNAcentral lists this ribosomal RNA (253 nucleotides) under uncultured bacterium. RNAcentral describes it as "partial 16S ribosomal RNA". It matches the Rfam family "Bacterial small subunit ribosomal RNA", at positions 524 to 776 of the family's 1533-position model. The record is from RNAcentral.